This 534-nucleotide ribosomal RNA is filed under the name Crocidura theresae (Therese's shrew). RNAcentral's name for it is "partial large subunit ribosomal RNA". It matches the Rfam family "Bacterial large subunit ribosomal RNA", at positions 1816 to 2586 of the family's 2925-position model. Lineage: Eukaryota; Metazoa; Chordata; Mammalia; Eulipotyphla; Soricidae. The record is from RNAcentral.
CACCUCUAGCAUUACCAGUAUUAGAGGCACUGCCUGCCCAGUGACAUUAGUUAAACGGCCGCGGUAUCCUGACCGUGCAAAGGUAGCAUAAUCAUUUGUUCCUUAAUUAGGGACUUGUAUGAAUGGCCCCACGAGGGUUUAACUGUCUCUUACUUUUAAUCAGUGAAAUUGACCUUCCCGUGAAGAGGCGGGAAUAUGACAAUAAGACGAGAAGACCCUAUGGAGCUUAAAUUAAUAUGCUCAACAAAAUUUAAAUUUAACCCAACAGGAAUAAUCACAAUUUAACUGAGCAACAAAUUUUGGUUGGGGUGACCUCGGAGUAUAACAAAACCUCCGAGUGAUUUUAACUAAGACACACUCGUCAAAGUUACAUAACUUAUUGAUCCAAUCAUAUUGAUCAACGAAACAAGUUACCCUAGGGAUAACAGCGCAAUCCUAUCCGAGAGUUCAUAUCGACAAUAGGGUUUACGACCUCGAUGUUGGAUCAGGACACCCAAAUGGUGCAGCAGCUAUUAAAGGUUCGUUUGUUCAACG